This 466-nucleotide ribosomal RNA is filed under the name uncultured bacterium. Its description in RNAcentral is "partial 16S ribosomal RNA". It matches the Rfam family "Bacterial small subunit ribosomal RNA", at positions 28 to 507 of the family's 1533-position model. The record is from RNAcentral.
GACGAACGCUGGCGGCGCGCCUAACACAUGCAAGUCGAACGAGCGAGAGAGAGCUUGCUUUCUUGAGCGAGUGGCGAACGGGUGAGUAACGCGUGAGGAACCUGCCUCAAAGAGGGGGACAACAGUUGGAAACGACUGCUAAUACCGCAUAAGCCCACGACCCGGCAUCGGGUUGAGGGAAAAGGAGCAAUCCGCUUUGAGAUGGCCUCGCGUCCGAUUUGCUAGUUGGUGAGGUAACGGCCCACCAAGGCGACGACCGGUAGCCGGACUGAGAGGUUGAGCGGACACAUUGGGAGUGAGACACGGCCCAGACUCCUACGGGAGGCAGGAGUGGGGAAUAUUGCACAAUGGGGGAAACCCUGAUGCAGCGACGCCGCGUGGAGGAAGAAGGUCUUCGGAUUGUAAACUCCUGUUGUUGAGGAAGAUAAUGACGGUACUCAAAAAGGAAGUGACGGCUAACUACGUG